RNAcentral lists this ribosomal RNA (491 nucleotides) under uncultured bacterium. RNAcentral describes it as "partial 16S ribosomal RNA". It matches the Rfam family "Bacterial small subunit ribosomal RNA", at positions 29 to 507 of the family's 1533-position model. The record is from RNAcentral.
GUGAACGCUGGCGGUAGGCCUAACACAUGCAAGUCGCACGGCAGCACAGUAAGAGCUUGCUCUUACGGGUGGCGAGUGGCGGACGGGUGAGGAAUACAUCGGAAUCUACUUUUUCGUGGGGGAUAACGUAGGGAAACUUACGCUAAUACCGCAUACGACCUACGGGUGAAAGCAGGGGAUCUUCGGACCUUGCGCGAUUGAAUGAGCCGAUGUCGGAUUAGCUAGUUGGCGGGGUAAAGGCCCACCAAGGCGACGAUCCGUAGCUGGUCUGAGAGGAUGAUCAGCCACACUGGAACUGAGACACGGUCCAGACUCCUACGGGAGGCAGCAGUGGGGAAUAUUGGACAAUGGGCGCAAGCCUGAUCCAGCCAUACCGCGUGGGUGAAGAAGGCCUUCGGGUUGUAAAGCCCCUUUGUUGGGAAAGAAAAGCAGCAGGUUAAUACCCCGCUGUUCUGACGGUACCCAAAGAAUAAGCACCGGCUAACUUCGUG